RNAcentral lists this ribosomal RNA (435 nucleotides) under uncultured bacterium. RNAcentral's name for it is "partial 16S ribosomal RNA". It matches the Rfam family "Bacterial small subunit ribosomal RNA", at positions 29 to 507 of the family's 1533-position model. The record is from RNAcentral.
AGCGAACGCUGGCGGCAGGCUUAACACGUGCAAGUCGAGCGGGCAUAGCAAUAUGUCAGCGGCAGACGGGUGAGUAACGCGUGGGAACGUACCUUUUGGUUCGGAACAACACAGGGAAACUUGUGCUAAUACCGGAUAAGCCCUUACGGGGAAAGAUUUAUCGCCGAAAGAUCGGCCCGCGUCUGAUUAGCUAGUUGGUGAGGUAAUGGCUCACCAAGGCGACGAUCAGUAGCUGGUCUGAGAGGAUGAUCAGCCACAUUGGGACUGAGACACGGCCCAAACUCCUACGGGAGGCAGCAGUGGGGAAUAUUGGACAAUGGGCGCAAGCCUGAUCCAGCCAUGCCGCGUGAGUGAUGAGGGCCCUAGGGUUGUAAAGCUCUUUUGUGCGGGAAGAUAAUGACGGUACCGCAAGAAUAAGCCCCGGCUAACUUCGUG